GACGACAAAAGGGUCGUUAAUCUGUGUCAACAAAACAUGGAAAAGAGAACGUCAAAACCACCAGGUGCACAAUUUACAAAAAAAGAGGAAAGAAGAAGAGGAGAAACGGGUCGAAGAUAAAGCUGAUUCCUGCGCUCUGCGGUGUUUAUACUCCAUCGCAAAUACUUCAGAGAUGUUAUUUUUUGCACUCCCUCUGUGCUGAGCGAUCCCGGACAAUAACAGGAUACAUGUGAAGGCCCCUGAUCUUCUUUAAAGGUUACCCUUUGACCCCACUGUCACCUCACCUUCCUCAAACUGGAUUAAAGCAGGACGACGCUUAUGCAUCAACACAGUCUUGGUUAACACCUCCUCCACCUGCAAGGACUAUUUUUUUUGUACACAGGUGAACAAACACUGAUGCAGAACACAUUAAAACCUUCCAGUAUGGAGAAGCAGACAUCCUGAGGCCAUGCUUGGCAGCUCUGGAGACAUCUUUACGUGUUACUGUUAUUCCCAUUUUCUCCUGGAGGGUUGGAGCGAAUAUCAAUUUCUCGAAGCUUUGGAAAAACAGCCGCAGGCAGCAGCACCUCCUCUUCGGCAAUCUGUGGAUGAUAAAGACAUUGAUAAGAGGAAAUAGACUCCAUUUAAAAUGGUGUGAUGAAUUUCAAUGAGGGCACCUUGUUGUGAGAUAAGUCAAGGAACUGAAGUUCUGGUAGAGGUGACAGCAACCCUCUGAGGACGUCACUCUCCUUCACGUAGAUCCAGUGCAAUCAAAGAUUAGACAAAUGAAAACAUUUCAAGAUUUAAAGGCCUACCUGUGACAUGGUGCUGAAAUUCUUCUGCUCAGCACGGUCUGGAUUAGAAGGAGUUAUGAUAGAUUAAUACAGCAAGGAACCGGAACUGGAAAACUUAAGCAAAAUUCUGCUUCACUAUGAGGCAACAGAAUAAUAUGACUUCUCCAAGCCAGUCAGUGAAGAGAGAAAGAGAAACCAUACAUUUGUCGCCAUUGUCCACUAUUACACAAACAUAAAAUGAUCAAAUCUCUGUUUUAUUUGUAAAAUAAUUCACGGGUUAUCAUCUCCUCCUCUUCGACAGUCUGUCAACAUCCGAACAGCUGUCCAUAACAGAACUGGAGGCGUUGAGAGGGGAGAUUGCAUUCAUCCAUUUACAAAAAGUGUAUUUGGACAAACAGCUUUCUCCACUGGAGCUGUGACUGAGUGAAACCUCACCCCAAUAGCCAUUACAAAUUAAAACACAGAUCAUAUAUUUUAAUUAAACACAACCAGUUAGGGCUCAGUUUAAAAAAAAAUAAAAGGUUAGGAGAAAAAAGUUGACAUGCUGAACGUUAGCUAUCACAUUAUUGUGUGUAGCUAUGUGUAGCUAUUUGAUUAGCAUAUUUUCAUCUGUUAGUUUUUUGCGUGUUUCGUAAACAAAAGGUGAAGAAUAUCACCCUGGCUCCCGUAUCCUCUCAUUUUUCUAUAUGCGGUCUUCCUAGGGAAAAGUUUAAGCACUCACCAUGUCUUUCUUCUUCGCUGGAAGUCUGCAAAGGUUUGAUGCAGCCCAUCAUCAGUUUCAAAUACGGUAUUUGUGUGAUGCGGUUCCCUUGGAGGUUUAAGUGCUUCAGUCUGUCAAUGGAGGGAAAAGCUAGAAACUGAUGCAGUUACCACUACACAUCACAAAUAAUAAUACGAUCAUUGCAUUUACUAAUGAGUCAUUUCUCCCAGCAAAACAACUAGCUAAAAACAACAAUCCGAAUAUUAAAGGGGCCCUAUCUUGCUUAUUUCAGGGACAAAUGAUAUUGUAUUGCAGUGGGGCACUACAGUAAGUUUAUUUUAAAGAAAUACUGCAUAAA
Molecule: long non-coding RNA, 1831 nt
Organism: Dunckerocampus dactyliophorus (ringed pipefish)
Lineage: Eukaryota; Metazoa; Chordata; Actinopteri; Syngnathiformes; Syngnathidae
Exons: 5
Source: RefSeq, a predicted model, not a curated record